ACUACAGCCUGAACAUUACUAUUAUUACCACCACCAUUACCACAGGUAACGGUGCGGGCUGACGCAUAACAGGAAAAAACGAAAAAGCCCGCACCCUAUCAGGUGUGGGCUUUUUUUUG
Regulatory RNA element from Tatumella ptyseos ATCC 33301, 119 nucleotides. The record is from Rfam. NCBI's taxonomy places the organism in Bacteria, Pseudomonadati, Pseudomonadota, Gammaproteobacteria, Enterobacterales, Erwiniaceae.